This 111-nucleotide non-coding RNA is filed under the name Aequorivita sublithincola. Its description in RNAcentral is "SAM-I sequence". It matches the Rfam family "SAM riboswitch aptamer (S box leader)". From Rfam's summary of the family: The SAM riboswitch is found upstream of a number of genes which code for proteins involved in methionine or cysteine biosynthesis in Gram-positive bacteria. The SAM riboswitch acts at the level of transcription termination control. The record is from RNAcentral. Lineage: Bacteria; Pseudomonadati; Bacteroidota; Flavobacteriia; Flavobacteriales; Flavobacteriaceae.
ACGUUAUCAAGAAAGGCCGAGGGACUAGACCCUUUGACGCCUUAGCAACCUCCCGAACUUCGGGGAAGGUGCUACAUUCUAUCCCGAAGUAAAUUCGAGAAUAGAUAACAA